Molecule: long non-coding RNA, 457 nt
Organism: Solenopsis invicta (red fire ant)
Lineage: Eukaryota; Metazoa; Arthropoda; Insecta; Hymenoptera; Formicidae
Exons: 2
Source: RefSeq, a predicted model, not a curated record
GUGUUCCUGCGCGUUCCGCCCGGCCGGAACGCCACGGAAUCGGAUCGGAACAAAAUCAUGGAAAAAAAGAGGAUUCAAAAUAGAGUUCGAAGAUUCGGCGACAACGGCGACAACGUUGGCGGUACUUCUCCGUUCGUCGUGAUCGAGGCUGCUGCAUAAUUACCGUUGUUUUCUCGUUGUCUGGAAUGCGACGAAACUCCGUGGAAAAUUUCGAGCGUUGCGACAAGCGCUCACGUGAGGUUAGGGUCGUUCGCGCAACAGUGUUAUUUGAAGGUGCACACAGAUAAAAAUUAGGCAUGUGAUUGCUAUGGCAAGAGUCUCCCACUGAAUACAAGUCUACCAUACAAGAGUCUGUGACAUAAAGUUCAAUGAUGUACAAUGUGUACAAAGUGUGAUAUAUUGCUUAUGCACGAAAUAACGAUUAUUGUAUAACGAAAUAAAAAUUCUUCAAGGUAUA